This 108-nucleotide small nuclear RNA is filed under the name Moschus moschiferus (Siberian musk deer). The record is from RNAcentral. Lineage: Eukaryota; Metazoa; Chordata; Mammalia; Artiodactyla; Moschidae.
GCGUGCUCGCUUCAGCACACAUGCACCAACGGUGCAACAAUAUAGAGGAAAUGAGCAUGGCCCCUGCACAAGGAUGACAUGACAGCUCAGGAAGCAUUCCACAUGCAA